UUGCUUCUCUCUCCACUUAUCUGCAAAACCCUGCCUUCUUCUAUCUCCACCUUCACUUCCUCUUUCUUUAAUCCUGGAAGAUCAGCCUUGAAAACGUGAGCCUCAGGGGUCUCCUUCCAGUCCAUGCGUGUGUUGGCAAAAGCCGAAGUUUCGCUUGCCAACUCAGAGCGAGGAGCUGAUACAGCUGUGCUUGGGAAUGGGAAGUCGUGGAAAGGAUCCCAGACGUCGAGAGAGAAGGGAUCGAAGAUGUUGGUUCUCCGGCCACCGAAGAAGCUGCUUGGAAUAAGAGACAUUUUUCUUUUCUUGGUUUUGAGAUGUGAAUUGGAAGAAGAACAAGAUUACUCGGUGAAUACUUAUGGUAUUUCUUAGCUUGAAAUGGGUUAGCUCUGCGAUUUGAAUGGAUAAAGGAAGGAGGUAUUUAUAGGGUGGAUUC
This 433-nucleotide unclassified non-coding RNA is filed under the name Hevea brasiliensis (rubber tree). Lineage: Eukaryota; Viridiplantae; Streptophyta; Magnoliopsida; Malpighiales; Euphorbiaceae. The record is from RNAcentral.